This 492-nucleotide ribosomal RNA is filed under the name uncultured bacterium. RNAcentral describes it as "partial 16S ribosomal RNA". It matches the Rfam family "Bacterial small subunit ribosomal RNA", at positions 29 to 507 of the family's 1533-position model. The record is from RNAcentral.
AGUGAACGCUGGCGGUAGGCCUAACACAUGCAAGUCGAACGGCAGCACAGUAAGAGCUUGCUCUUACGGGUGGCGAGUGGCGGACGGGUGAGGAAUACAUCGGAAUCUACUUUUUCGUGGGGGAUAACGUAGGGAAACUUACGCUAAUACAGCAUACGACCUACGGGUGAAAGCAGGGGAUCUUCGGACCUUGCGCGAUUGAAUGAGCCGAUGUCGGAUUAGCUAGUUGGCGGGGUAAAGGCCCACCAAGGCGACGAUCCGUAGCUGGUCGGAGAGGAUGAUCGGCCAAACUGGAACUGGAACACGGUCCAGACUCCUACGGGAGGCAGCAGUGGGGAAUAUUGGACAAUGGGCGCAAGCCUGAUCCAGCCAUACCGCGUGGGUGAAGAAGGCCUUCGGGUUGUAAAGCCCUUUUGUUGGGAAAGAAAAGCAGCAGGUUAAUACCCCGCUGUUCUGACGGUACCCAAAGAAUAAGCACCGGCUAACUUCGUG